Long non-coding RNA from Cyprinus carpio carpio, 2446 nucleotides. NCBI's taxonomy places the organism in Eukaryota, Metazoa, Chordata, Actinopteri, Cypriniformes, Cyprinidae. The record is from Ensembl.
UGUAAUGUAAAAUACAAAUGUAACACCUAAUAGCUUACUAUGAAGUGUACAGUCGUCGGUCAUUAUCGCAAAAUGAAGCUCUUUCAGGUUGUAGCUACAAAUCCUGAUCAUAUUGUUGGCAAUUUUGUCCGUUAAUUAAUUUAUGUAUUUUGCUACAGUUUGGCUGUAUCAGAUUGGUUUUGGAUUUUUGGAUGUUUGUAACAUUUUGGAUUUUAACCAAAAUCUUUUAGGCCUAAAAUAAUGUGUGUAAUUAUGGUGCCAUAUGCCAUUCAGGAAUAUCGACACAUAUUGAACUCUUUUAACAGAUUGUGAAUAUACAAAUAAUGAAAAUUUAGCUUAUAACACUGUUUUAGUCUGCCAUUAAAUUUCACAACUAUGGGUUUUUCUAUAACAGCUGUUGAGUGAGUGACUAUCUGCCGUGCAACUGUCUUGAGAUGAAAGGAAUGCUGAAAUAGACCUCGACUGCUAUUUUAGUUUUAAAAUUGCCAUUAUCACAUUUUAGACAGUUUUAUAACCUGCAAGACUUUAUUUCAAAAGUUCAACUUAAAAGUAGACCGUAAAGAAUGUAUAAUUCAGUACAUUCCAUUUUAAUUCAGUUUAGACAAUCACAGUCUGUGACAGCUAAACCCUGGUCCAGCUAAUAAAAAACCAUACAAUUCAGAUUAGCUUGUAGAGAGCUAGAAAUAAGUAAUAGAAACUUAAAAACAAUAGACAUGGAAUAAAUUAAAGUUAAUUGCGACAUUUUUCCCAGUCAUCUCAAAUGCAAAAUAAAUAAAUAAAUAAAUAAAAAAUAUUCCCAGUUUACCAGAAUUCACCUGUUUCAUAGUAAGAGAAAGGUGACACCUAGAGGACGGUUGAAGCCCCAUUAUUAAAAUCGCACAGGAACAUAAAAUAAGAUGCAUAUAAGUAUAAAACCACAACUUUUGGCUUACAAUUUUAUCAGUUUCCAGUGGUUCACAAAUACGCUGUAAAAUUGAUUUUGAAUUUGUUUUUACUUGAAAUAAAUUUACUUGACAUAAGUGUACUUCUUUAAUUGCUUAGAGUCUUGUAUCUGUAAUUAUGAUCAUACUAAUUUGAAAUUACAUUUCAUUCCAGCUGCAACUGGCAGUGUUAAAUCUGAACAUAUAAUCACAUCUCACAUUAUGUAGACUUCAUAGUGUCAGUAGGUUGGUUAACUGGAUCUUUAACAUCAAACUAUUUGGACUUGACUAGAACAUAAACCGUGCCUGCCAAAUGCGUAUUUAGGACCACAUAUCAUUAUCAUGCACACAUAGCAUAUAUUAAUUAGGCCAGUGCUUUUUAUAAAUUGUUUUUAAACUCUCUUUUGGGAUAGUAAGUUAGAACAGCCAUCUAAAAUAACAAAAUAACAAGAAAUAUCAAAAUAUGAAAGGUGAAUAUUUAGUUAAAGUAGUUGAGGUGACUUUCAACCAAAAGUUGAAAUGAAAAGUUAAAAAUCUGAAUCCAGUAUCAUAGGGAUGACAUCAUCAGUUCUCUGCUAUUUAUCAAAACCGUAUCACAUUGUCUUCUAUGGAGCCUCUUGAUCCUUUGCAUAUAUAUUCCUGCCAGAUUCCAAAGUAAGGGACAACAAAAUCCUGAUUUACUCUUCAACAACUUUAAUCUGAUUAAUUGUUAUUCAUAUCCUCAGCCUCAUCACUUUGAUUCAUGGGGUCCAGAAUAACAUUUUUAUUGGUGGGCCUCCAGCAUAGUCCCCCCUCAUUACAGGGUUCUCUGCUUUAAAGGAUACCAGAUAAUCCACGUGCUGACUCUGUGGCUGUUGGCUGCUGGCCGGGUGGGGGCCAGCGUUUCUCAAAUUUGUUGAAGAAUAGUGGGUCGGUGAAGGGCCCUCCAUACACAAUGGUUUGCAGCAGGUAGACCAGUGCCACUACUAGGCUGGAGACCAGAAAGAAGGGAAUGAAAGGACGAAGAUGUGUCCACACAACUCCCACACCAUAAGUGAGGCCACCAUGGUCACGGUAAUGGGUGGUCUUGCGGGAUGUCGAUGAUGGUGGAAUGGGCGAAGCGAGGCUGUCUGAAUCCAUGUAAUUGGAAGACUCUGGAUCAGUGGAAUCCAUGGUUGAUGGUUAUAUAUUAAUGGCUGAUCCACCCAGGAAAUCAAAACGAGCAAUGAUUAAAUACUAUGGAGUAUAGAUGUUCCAGAUGUCAGCAUUUCCUAAGUAUUGCAUGAUCCUGUGCGUCUUCUCUUUCAGAUCUUGACAGAUGAAACACAGUUUGCAGUGAAUACUCCAGAACUAAUACCCUAAAGACAGAUUCAUCGAUUUUCUCAUGCGCUCUUAUUUCUAUCUUUUUCUGACUCUUAACUCUCUCUGUAGGUGUUUGCAUGCACUGACAGAGCUGGUGUCUGUCGGGACCUCAUAAGAUCACCACACCAGUUUCAUACCAGCCGCACUCAGGGAAAUAGAAUACCCCGAGAGAGAUACUCUGAGAG